UGCCAUGCUUGAUAGUCAGGAU
RNAcentral lists this non-coding RNA (22 nucleotides) under Arabidopsis thaliana (thale cress). The record is from RNAcentral. Lineage: Eukaryota; Viridiplantae; Streptophyta; Magnoliopsida; Brassicales; Brassicaceae.